Ostrea edulis (European flat oyster) is the source of this 1008-nucleotide long non-coding RNA. RefSeq lists it as uncharacterized. The record is from RefSeq and is a predicted model, not a curated record. Lineage: Eukaryota; Metazoa; Mollusca; Bivalvia; Ostreida; Ostreidae. The transcript has 2 exons.
UAAGACCAUGUUUAUCAAAAUUCGGCCUAACGUCCAAAGUGAAUAAUUUUUUGUUAGAAAUAUUCUCUAACAUGUUCUUUUCCUGUAAUGUACUGGUUUUUAUAUGUAGAGUUGGUGAAAGAACACAAUUUUUAGGUUUACAUUACUAGUAUAAAUCCUAUAAUUUGCGCUACUUUUUAAGAUUGCGUCAUACAACGUCGCUAUAUAUUAUUAGAAGUGGUAACGUAUUGUAAAACAUGAUUAUGCAAUGAUUGGUUUAAUAUAUAAUAAGAUCUUGAAAAAGAAAUUUUCUUUCCCAAAUACGCAAGAAGGUUAUUUUACUUAUAGCCCGAAUGGCACACCAUAUUUUUCAAUCCUUCAUUCGGCCAUUUUCACACGCCGCGCCAUUAGCCUGUUUGCGCUUUUCGUGGAAGUUGCAGAGGAUGUACUCAUCGCAUUUCAACGAUGAUAUAAUAUGUACAGCAAAAAUUUAUGGCAAGGGUGACAUGAAUCAGAUUGACAAGAAUCCAUAUUCCUACUCCUCAAUAAUGCUAUCAUCACUGCCAUCAGAUUCAUCAAUGAUAGUGGCAUCAGUGACACAUGCGGAUAAGUGUUCGACAUCACUGCAGGAAUAGCUUCCUUGUUGUGCCUGCCAAUAGCAAGGUACCAGAUUAUACAGCAGUUAUGUGGAAACAGAUUCCCACAAUAGGGGGACCAGAUUGACACCUACAUUGUACAGUAUCAGGCAGUUAUAUCAGAACUGGAAAAACUGGAUCCAAACAAGACUAUAUUGCUUGGAAGAAACAUGUCGACUCUGAAGUUUAACCCUUAUUAACCCAUGGCACUUCCAGAGACAUUCUGAUACCAUGGUUCUAUGUCAUUUGAAAUAUACCUGUGGAGGUUUUUAAAGUGGGUUUUUUUUGGGGGGGGGUGUUAUUAAUUGGAAGAAUUUAUAUUUGAUGAUUCAAAUGAAAAUCUGCAUGUUGAAAUAUGAAUGUCAUAAUAAAUGUACUUUUUGAAUGAGUUCAA